Molecule: long non-coding RNA, 763 nt
Organism: Diabrotica virgifera virgifera (western corn rootworm)
Lineage: Eukaryota; Metazoa; Arthropoda; Insecta; Coleoptera; Chrysomelidae
Exons: 2
Source: RefSeq, a predicted model, not a curated record
CUGAACAUUAUGUGGACCAUAUAGAACAAUUUGGUGUUGGAGGAUAACUUUCACUUUGGAUGUCUGGGUUUGGGUCUAACUACACCAUACUAAUAAUAUUUAGGGAUAAAAAGGCAACCAAAGUUCAAAAUUUAUUUCUUUUUGAAAUGAAUGUCGAAAUAAAUGUCGACUCAAUUCAAGUUCUCUGUUUAACCCAGGUAUGACAAUACCAAAAGGCACCGCUGGGAAAAUAUUCCAAUUUGCGGUUCAGAGUACCUGUAUGAAUCGAGUAUUUGUACUCUAAUACAGAGUAUGGCAUUAUUGAAAAUAGAAAAUCUACGGCUUCGUUUUGAUUUAAAUUUGUCUCCUACCAUCCUCGAUAGUAUUAUUUCUAGGUCUACCCGUUGUCAAGGAGGCUCUACAGAAAACAAAUUUACACCAACACGUCCGUAGUUUCUCGGUAUAAAAUAAAAAUAUUUAUACCGCAGUAUGGUUAGAACGCCCUCUAACGGGGAAUAAGUGAAAUGAAUGUCGACUCGAUUCAAGUUCUCUGUUUAACUGACAUGAUAGGUAGAGAAAUUGGAGAGAACUUACAGACCAAGACUGGAUAUACAAUACCGAAAGAUUGUAACGUCCACAUUUUUAUAUUCGAUUUGCACCGACGACCGGAAUUUUGGGAAGACCCCUUGAAAUUUGAUCCUGAUAGAUUUUUGCCGGAAAAUUGCACAGGCAGACAUCCAUUUGCUUAUAUACCUUUCAGUGCCGGCCAUCGAAAUUGCAUAGG